CCGGCUCCCGGGGCCGUCCCCCGCCAGUCCCGGCUCCGGGAAGUCGCUGCUCCGCGGGGUUUCGCUCGCCAGGCGCGGCCGCGCUUCGCUCGGUGCUUGCCCGCAGCAGCUCCCGGUGCAAAACGCCAGCAAAGGUGAAUGGGAGGGAUGAACGAUGAGAAAUGGAACACUGUAGCUCCCAGAAAUGCAACACUGUGACGCCCAGACCAGCUUUUUAAUGCAAUUCUGUCACAACCUCGUUCUCCCACAAGGUUUUUGCCCACGCUUGCCCACAGCCUGUGCCUGCCCUGGCACAGCAGCGCUGCCGGCCCACAGCUGGCACUGGAGGGACAGAGCAGAACACACUGCUGUAAAUCUGCAUUUCUGCAGAUAAACGCGUGCAACAACCGGCAAAAGCAACGCAUAAAUAUUUCACUGGAAACUCGGACUGUGUCAGUCUUUGACUGCUCCCACAUCAUUAAAAACAGGCUGCCCUGAGCUCAAGCGUGAAGUUCUGUAUUUCUGUCUGGGAGGUUUAAUUGGAAAUUAGCGCUUAAGCGUGGUCAUGCAAUGAGUGCGUUUUUAAACAGUUGCUCUCGGGUGAAGCCAAACUGGACGUGCCAUGACUUAUUCUCCUUAAGCGUGAAUAGCCCACAAGCCGGGCUUCCCUAUUAACGCCUUGGCUACGCCCCAAACAUCUCCCUCACUACAGCAACGUCUGAUUUCCCAACUUUAGCAGCAGCCUCGGCCGCCUGACAGCCGCUGGGACCGCCGCCUUUUAUCGCUCCCGCCCGCCCUCCUUCCC
Long non-coding RNA from Passer montanus (Eurasian tree sparrow), 784 nucleotides. RefSeq lists it as uncharacterized. Lineage: Eukaryota; Metazoa; Chordata; Aves; Passeriformes; Passeridae. The record is from RefSeq and is a predicted model, not a curated record. The transcript is spliced from 3 exons.